RNAcentral lists this long non-coding RNA (204 nucleotides) under Manihot esculenta (cassava). RNAcentral describes it as "long non-coding RNA (MESC_LNC004760)". Lineage: Eukaryota; Viridiplantae; Streptophyta; Magnoliopsida; Malpighiales; Euphorbiaceae. The record is from RNAcentral.
UAAUCUUUUAAAUUGAGAAAUUAAAUGUUUUAUCAUAUUUCAUGCAUCAUGAUUAUGCAAUAGGAUGAUUGCAUUAGUUUUCACGAAUAUGCCGCAUUGCAUCGAUUGUUGUUGAUGUGGGUGAAUAUUGGAUGACCCAAUUAGUCCAUGACAGGAAGACCAGGACCCCAUUCUAUGGCCUGGCACAGAGUAAGGAAAGACCAG